This 73-nucleotide transfer RNA is filed under the name Bos taurus (domestic cattle). It matches the Rfam family "tRNA". From Rfam's summary of the family: Transfer RNA (tRNA) molecules are approximately 80 nucleotides in length. Their secondary structure includes four short double-helical elements and three loops (D, anti-codon, and T loops). Lineage: Eukaryota; Metazoa; Chordata; Mammalia; Artiodactyla; Bovidae. RNAcentral also lists the same sequence under 3 other names. The record is from Rfam by way of RNAcentral.
GUUCUGUUGGUCCAGUGGCUAAGAUUCUGCGCUUCCAAUGCAGGGGACCCAGGUUCAAUCCCUGGUCAGGGAA